GACGUAGGGCGCGAGCGUUGUCCGGAUUUACUGGGCGUAAAGAGCGCGCAGGCGGUCGUUCAAGUCGCGUGUGAAAGCCCCCGGCUCAACUGGGGAGGGUCACGCGAUACUGAUCGACUCGAAGACAGGAGAGGGAAGCGGAAUUCCCGGUGUAGUGGUGAAAUGCGUAGAUAUCGGGAAGAACACCAGUGGCGAAAGCGCUCUACUGGGCCAUAACUGACGCUGAGGAGCGAAAGCGUGGGGAGCGAACAGG
RNAcentral lists this ribosomal RNA (253 nucleotides) under uncultured bacterium. Its description in RNAcentral is "partial 16S ribosomal RNA". It matches the Rfam family "Bacterial small subunit ribosomal RNA", at positions 524 to 776 of the family's 1533-position model. The record is from RNAcentral.